AGAGUUUGAUCCUGGCUCAGAUUGAACGCUAGCGGUAUGCUUAACACAUGCAAGUCGAACGGCAGCAUCAUAUAGGUUUACCUAUGUGGAUGGCGAGUGGCGGACGGGUGAGUAAUGCGUAGGAAUCUACCUUAGUGAGGGGGAUAACUCCGAGAAAUCGGAGCUAAUUCCACAUAAUGUUGCAAAACCAAAGGCAGGGG
RNAcentral lists this ribosomal RNA (200 nucleotides) under uncultured bacterium. Its description in RNAcentral is "partial 16S ribosomal RNA". It matches the Rfam family "Bacterial small subunit ribosomal RNA", at positions 8 to 213 of the family's 1533-position model. The record is from RNAcentral.